GGAUGUAUAACUCAGUGCCAGAAUGCCUGCUUAGCAUGCACGAGGUCCUGGGUUCAAUCCCCAGUACCUCUU
Molecule: transfer RNA, 72 nt
Filed under: Camelus bactrianus (Bactrian camel)
Lineage: Eukaryota; Metazoa; Chordata; Mammalia; Artiodactyla; Camelidae
Also listed under: 2 other names
Rfam family: tRNA
About the family: Transfer RNA (tRNA) molecules are approximately 80 nucleotides in length. Their secondary structure includes four short double-helical elements and three loops (D, anti-codon, and T loops). Further hydrogen bonds mediate the characteristic L-shaped molecular structure. tRNAs have two regions of fundamental functional importance: the anti-codon, which is responsible for specific mRNA codon recognition, and the 3' end, to which the tRNAs corresponding amino acid is attached (by aminoacyl-tRNA synthetases). tRNAs cope with the degeneracy of the genetic code in two manners: having more than one tRNA (with a specific anti-codon) for a particular amino acid; and 'wobble' base-pairing, i.e. permitting non-standard base-pairing at the 3rd anti-codon position.
Source: Rfam by way of RNAcentral